AGGAUCAUUGUNGUGACCCUGACCAAAACAGACCGCGCACGAGUUAUCUAGCCCGCUGGGCGGCGGCCAUMGWCCGUCGCUUGGCAAAAGUCCUCGACAACCUCAUCUUUUCGGAGUUGGGGCUCGGGGUAAAAGAACCCACGGCGCCGAAGGCGUCAAGGAACACUGUGCCUAACGAGGGGAUGUGGCUGGCUUGCUAGCCGCACCCCGAGUUGCAAUUCUAUAUAAUCCACACGACUCUCGGCAACGGAUAUCUCGGCUCUCGCAUCGAUGAAGAACGUAGCGAAAUGCGAUACCUGGUGUGAAUUGCAGAAUCCCGCGAACCAUCGAGUCUUUGAACGSAAGUUGCGCCCGAGGCCUCUUGGCCGAGGGCACGCCUGCCUGGGCGKCACGCCAAACACGCUCCCACCCAACUAACUUGGGGUGGGACGCGGCAUGUGGCUCCUCGUCCCGCAAGGGGCGGUGGGCCAAAGAUCCGGCUGCCGGCCUAUCGUGCCGGACACAGCGCGUGGUAGGAGACCUCGCUUUACUAAACGCAGUGCCUCCGGCGCGUAUAGACCAGCGCGAUGGCCCCAAUGGACCCUUUAACGGAGUGCAUGACGCUCGACCGCGA
RNAcentral lists this ribosomal RNA (613 nucleotides) under Lolium multiflorum (Italian ryegrass). Its description in RNAcentral is "eukaryotic LSU rRNA". The stretch from base 236 to 391 matches the Rfam family "5.8S ribosomal RNA". The record is from RNAcentral. Lineage: Eukaryota; Viridiplantae; Streptophyta; Magnoliopsida; Poales; Poaceae.